AUUAGCUCAGUUGGUCAGAGCAUGGUGCUAAUAAUGCCACAGUUGUGGGUUCAAUCCCUGUAU
RNAcentral lists this transfer RNA (63 nucleotides) under Taeniopygia guttata (zebra finch). It matches the Rfam family "tRNA", at positions 6 to 65 of the family's 71-position model. Rfam says of the family: Transfer RNA (tRNA) molecules are approximately 80 nucleotides in length. Their secondary structure includes four short double-helical elements and three loops (D, anti-codon, and T loops). Further hydrogen bonds mediate the characteristic L-shaped molecular structure. tRNAs have two regions of fundamental functional importance: the anti-codon, which is responsible for specific mRNA codon recognition, and the 3' end, to which the tRNAs corresponding amino acid is attached (by aminoacyl-tRNA synthetases). tRNAs cope with the degeneracy of the genetic code in two manners: having more than one tRNA (with a specific anti-codon) for a particular amino acid; and 'wobble' base-pairing, i.e. permitting non-standard base-pairing at the 3rd anti-codon position. Lineage: Eukaryota; Metazoa; Chordata; Aves; Passeriformes; Estrildidae. The record is from Rfam by way of RNAcentral.